CUAAGGCUAAAUACUCUCUAGUGACCGAUAGUGAACCAGUACCGUGAGGGAAAGGUGAAAAGCACCCCGGAAGGGGAGUGAAAUAGAACCUGAAACCGUGUGCUUACAAGUAGUCAGAGCCCGUUAAUGGGUGAUGGCGUGCCUUUUGUAGAAUGAACCGGCGAGUUACGAUUUGAUGCAAGGUUAAGCAGUAAAUGUGGAGCCGUAGCGAAAGCGAGUCUGAAUAGGGCGUUUAGUAUUUGGUCGUAGACCCGAAACCAGGUGAUCUACCCUUGGUCAGGUUGAAGUUCAGGUAACACUGAAUGGAGGACCGAACCGACUUACGUUGAAAAGUGAGCGGAUGAACUGAGGGUAGCGGAGAAAUUCCAAUCGAACCUGGAGAUAGCUGGUUCUCUCCGAAAUAGCUUUAGGGCUAGCCUCAAGUGAUGAUUAUUGGAGGUAGAGCACUGUUUGGACGAGGGGCCCCUCUCGGGUUACCGAAUUCAGACAAACUCCGAAUGCCAAUUAAUUUAACUUGGGAGUCAGAACAUGGGUGAUAAGGUCCGUGUUCGAAAGGGAAACAGCCCAGACCACCAGCUAAGGUCCCAAAAUAUAUGUUAAGUGGAAAAGGAUGUGGCGUUGCCCAGACAACUAGGAUGUUGGCUUAGAAGCAGCCAUCAUUUAAAGAGUGCGUAAUAGCUCACUAGUCGAGUGACACUGCGCCGAAAAUGUACCGGGGCUAAACAUAUUACCGAAGCUGUGGAUUGUCCUUUGGACAAUGGUAGGAGAGCGUUCUAAGG
RNAcentral lists this ribosomal RNA (779 nucleotides) under Staphylococcus aureus. Its description in RNAcentral is "partial 23S ribosomal RNA". It matches the Rfam family "Bacterial large subunit ribosomal RNA", at positions 460 to 1246 of the family's 2925-position model. Lineage: Bacteria; Bacillati; Bacillota; Bacilli; Caryophanales; Staphylococcaceae. The record is from RNAcentral.